UAUUGUGAAGUGGGAUAACAUUAAAGCAUUAAGACUAUUAUGUAUAUAGAUUGAUGAUCACAUCUCAUGGAUCAUGGAUAAGGUGUUAUCAAGUCUUAAACAUAGGUAUGAAUAUUAAGAGUAAUAUUUAUACUGGAUUGACCCGCUAUGAGAAUACUAUAUAGAACGUUAUGCAAAGUGUCAUAAGUUAUUCUCAUGGUGAUAAUGGUGUAUACCACCCUUCGACCUGAAACCACU
RNAcentral lists this long non-coding RNA (237 nucleotides) under Lathyrus oleraceus (garden pea). RNAcentral's name for it is "Pisum sativum (pea) long non-coding RNA (PSAT_LNC031563)". Lineage: Eukaryota; Viridiplantae; Streptophyta; Magnoliopsida; Fabales; Fabaceae. The record is from RNAcentral.